GAGGAUAUAGCUCAGUGGUGAGUGCAUGUCUAGCAUGCACGAGGUCCUGGGUUCAAGCCCAGUACCUCCA
This 70-nucleotide transfer RNA is filed under the name Camelus bactrianus (Bactrian camel). It matches the Rfam family "tRNA". From Rfam's summary of the family: Transfer RNA (tRNA) molecules are approximately 80 nucleotides in length. The record is from Rfam by way of RNAcentral. Lineage: Eukaryota; Metazoa; Chordata; Mammalia; Artiodactyla; Camelidae. RNAcentral also lists the same sequence under 2 other names.